This 699-nucleotide ribosomal RNA is filed under the name uncultured bacterium. RNAcentral describes it as "bacterial SSU rRNA". It matches the Rfam family "Bacterial small subunit ribosomal RNA", at positions 1 to 742 of the family's 1533-position model. The record is from RNAcentral.
AGGAGUUUGAUCCUGGCUCAGAACGAACGCUGGCGGCAGGCCUAACACAUGCAAGUCGAGCGAGAAGCCACCUUCGGGUGGGGGACAGCGGCAGACGGGUGAGUAACGCGUGGGAACGUACCCUUUGGUUCGGGACAACUCCGGGAAACUGGAGCUAAUACCGGAUAAGCCCCUCGGGGGAAAGAUUUAUCGCCGAAGGAUCGGCCCGCGUCUGAUUAGCUUGUUGGUGAGGUAAAGGCUCACCAAGGCUACGAUCAGUAGCUGGUCUGAGAGGAUGAUCAGCCACACUGGGACUGAGACACGGCCCAGACUCCUACGGGAGGCAGCAGUGGGGAAUAUUGGACAAUGGGCGCAAGCCUGAUCCAGCCAUGCCGCGUGAGUGAUGAAGGCCCUAGGGUUGUAAAGCUCUUUCGGCGGGGACGAUAAUGACGGUACCCGCAGAAGAAGCCCCGGCUAACUUCGUGCCAGCAGCCGCGGUAAUACGAAGGGGGCUAGCGUUGUUCGGAAUUACUGGGCGUAAAGCGCACGUAGGCGGAUCGUUUAGUUGGGGGUGAAAUCCCGAGGCUUAACCUCGGAACUGCCUCCAAUACUGGCGAUCUUGAGUCCGAGAGAGGUGAGUGGAACUCCGAGUGUAGAGGUGAAAUUCGUAGAUAUUCGGAAGAACACCAGUGGCGAAGGCGGCUCACUGGCUCGGUACUG